Molecule: long non-coding RNA, 2596 nt
Organism: Sapajus apella (tufted capuchin)
Lineage: Eukaryota; Metazoa; Chordata; Mammalia; Primates; Cebidae
Exons: 2
Source: RefSeq, a predicted model, not a curated record
GGCAGGAUGGAGAACAGCCAUCGGGUAGCAGGGGGAAGUGAGAAAAAGUCCAGGCUUUAAAAAACACAAAUUAAUCACAGCGUACUUCUGCCUAAAACUCCAGUGGCUUCCCUCUGCAUUUUGGGAAAAAUCCAAACAUCUUGUCAAAGCCUGCAAGGCCCCUAGAUCUAACCCAGCCCUCAAACUUUGGAAAAGGGGAAACUAUGUACCAGAAUAACAGUUCCAGGGAUGCUAUGAUCACAGUGUUUUUAUUUAAAACACUGUUUUUUGUCUUAAAAUUGUUUAGCAAAUCAUGUGUAAUUUUUUUUUUUAACCACAAAUGUUUUUGCCUUCGGUUUGAAAUCCCAAGUACAAUUUUCCAGAGCUUUUUUCUUAUGUGAACCAAGCCCUGUGAGCCUGCUUUUACAUAACACAGUUGAGAUUUUUGUUUUUUCCAUCAUGACCCAUUUGAAAGUUGCCCUAUUUAAUGCUGUAGGAGCCUAUUUUGGGUUCAUUUAUCUUUUAAAUUGCUAUGAGACCUUAAUGUUACAGCCUUCAGAUGGGGUCUUCUGAGAACUAGGGAGACAGAAGUUAUUUGUUUUAUCCAUUGCUAGCUGUUGAGGCCUCUCUUCAUGCCAGUCACUCAGCCGGGAGCGACACAGACAUAUUCCUUCCCACAAAGAACUUCUGAUCUGAGAGGAGAGACGGCGCAUCCAGCACCAGUGGUAUUGGAAUGAAACCAGCAUAUACAUGUUCAGAGCUUUAUAAUCAUUAACUGUUCUCCACGAUCCUGGGAAAUGUGAACUUGGAUGAAGUCCAAGAAUCUUAGCAACAAGACAGCAGCUCCCAAGCACAAUCCCAGUCCUCUGAUGGAGCCAGAAUCUCCGAGACAAAGCACCAUUUAUCGACAUGAACUGUCUUGCUUGCAGAGCUGAAAUCCCAAGUACCGAGCUAAUGAGAAGACUCAGAGCCAGGGUGUCAUAUGGAGUUAGGAAGACCAACCCAUUAACAGUCUGUUUCUCUGUGCUCAGCCCAGAUUGGAGGAGAUGCAGAACAAACGUAUACGAUGGCUUCUGAAAGGCUCCAACACUUGACACUUGAACACCAAGACAAUCACUCUGUUUAACUGGGAGUGUGGGAAAGGACACAGACCAGAAAAUGUUUUGUGAGUAGAUGGGCAGGGCCCCCUGAGCAGCAGAGGCAGCCAGCUGUAGGCCCAGGAUGCAGGAAUGUUCACAAACUCCUGAGCCUGACGGUCAGGGCUAUCUGCUUGACGAAUCUGAAGGUUAGACCCAACCCCUCUCCUCUCCUAAACCUACCUAUUCCAAAGGCGUCCCCUAGGGCCCAACUACGAGCAUCCAUUUGAGAUGCAGCCUCAGCAUAGCAAUAGGUGUCCCGUGAUUUCAGGAGAAUAAUUUACUUCCCUGAAAACAGGAGGUUACAUUUUCUUGCCCCCUAUCUAGAAUGUCCUUUGAAUGUUAGCAAGACUUAGCAAGUCAAGCAUAGAAGAGGGGUUCAAAUUAUGUUAAUGACAACCAGUGAUCACCAACAUUCACCUUCCUACAGAGCAAUAUGCUAAGCAUUUUGCAUUCAUCAUCUUACUUUAUUCUCACAACUCUAUAAAUUAGCAACAUAACAAAUCCCACUUUACAAAUGGAAAAACGGAGGCCUAGAGAAACUAAGGUUGGCAGUUCUCAAAGUGUUAGUCCUAGGACCAGCAUGGUCAACAUCAGGAAACUUGUUAGAAAUGAAAUUUCUCAGACCCCACCCCAGACACACUGAAUCACAAUCUCUGGGAAUGGGGCGAUCUAGCCUUCAACAAUCCCUGCAGGGAAUUCUGAUGCGCACUCAAGUGUGAGGACUUGUGGACCAGGCAACUGGGCAAAACUACACAGCAAGUAGGAUCUAAACCCUAGCAGUUUGGCUACAGAGCCCUGUUCUUAAACCCUGUGAUACGAAUCUACCUGGACGCUAGAAUUAAGAGCUCCUGUCCUACCUACAAUCACAAACUCCAAAUGCUGAGAAUCAGCAGCCAUUAAUAGAUGCUUGGCCUUUGAAAAUGUCUGUCAGAUUUAUAUGGAAGGAUAGAAGGGAGAAGCAACCUGCCUCUUCUACGUUAAGGCUUUGGCCUCACUGGCGACAUGAGGCACUGUCACAUUUCUCAUGGGAAUGAAGAUUUCCUGCUUGUUACUCACUACUCCCUGCCCCUGCCAGAGGUCACACCCAGAGGCUACACCCAGGCCUUACGGAAGCUUCAUUUCACACCCAAGAAGGAAGGCAGAUCAACUGGAGGGAAUGACGUACAAAGUAGCUGGUUUUCAAAACAAAAAAAUUAAUUUCAAGGGCAGAGGAAAUGGUAGAGGAAGAGAUUUGUUAAAGAAUACAAUAUUACCACUAGAUAAGUGUGCUAUACAUCAUCGUAGGAUGAUUAUAGUUAACAACAACAUAUGGUUUCAAAUAGCUAGAAUGAUAUCAAAUGUUCCCAAUACAGACAAAUUAUAAAUGUUUGAGAUGAUGGAUAUGCUAUUACCCUGAUCUGAUCACUACACAUUAUUUAUAUCAAAACAUUACUAUGUACUCCAUGAAUAUAUACAGUUAUUAUUUGUCAGCUUACAAA